ACUUUACAAUGCGGGCAACCGUGAUAAGGGAACCUCGAGUGCCUGUACAUGCAGGCUGUCUGGGUGUCUAAAACACACCCAAAGAAAGGGCCGGGCAAGACCGGUGCCAGCCGCCGCGGUAAUACCGGCGGCUCGAGUGGUGGCCACUUUUAUUGGGCUUAAAGCGUUCGUAGCUGGGUUGUUAAGUCUCUUGGGAAAUCUGGCAGCUUAACUGUCAGGCGUCUAAGAGAUACUGGCAAUCUAGGAACCGGGAGAGGUGAGGGGUACUUCGGGGGUAGGAGUGAAAUCCUGUAAUCCUCGAGGGACCACCUGUGGCGAAGGCGCCUCACCAGAACGGCUUCGACAGUGAGGGACGAAAGCUGGGGGAGCAAACCGGA
This 377-nucleotide ribosomal RNA is filed under the name Methanoculleus thermophilus. RNAcentral describes it as "bacterial SSU rRNA". It matches the Rfam family "Archaeal small subunit ribosomal RNA", at positions 347 to 728 of the family's 1478-position model. The record is from RNAcentral. RNAcentral also lists the same sequence under 1 other name. Lineage: Archaea; Methanobacteriati; Methanobacteriota; Methanomicrobia; Methanomicrobiales; Methanomicrobiaceae.